UUCCUCCGCCGCCACCGUAGUC
This 22-nucleotide small RNA is filed under the name Arabidopsis thaliana (thale cress). RNAcentral's name for it is "ATSL056300". The record is from RNAcentral. Lineage: Eukaryota; Viridiplantae; Streptophyta; Magnoliopsida; Brassicales; Brassicaceae.